RNAcentral lists this ribosomal RNA (468 nucleotides) under uncultured bacterium. RNAcentral's name for it is "partial 16S ribosomal RNA". It matches the Rfam family "Bacterial small subunit ribosomal RNA", at positions 28 to 507 of the family's 1533-position model. The record is from RNAcentral.
GACGAACGCUGGCGGCGUGCUUAACACAUGCAAGUCGAACGGAAAGGCCCUGCUUUUGUGGGGUGCUCGAGUGGCGAACGGGUGAGUAACACGUGAGUAACCUGCCCUUGACUUUGGGAUAACUUCAGGAAACUGGGGCUAAUACCGGAUAGGAGCUCCUGCUGCAUGGUGGGGGUUGGAAAGUUUCGGCGGUUGGGGAUGGACUCGCGGCUUAUGAGCUUGUUGGUGGGGGAGUGGCUUACCAAGGCUUUGACGGGUAGCCGGCCUGAGAGGGUGACCGGCCACAUUGGGACUGAGGUACGGCCCAGACUCCUACGGGAGGCAGCAGUGGGGAAUAUUGCACAAUGGGCGGAAGCCUGAUGCAGCAACGCCGCGUGCGGGAUGCCGGCCUUCGGGUUGUAAACCGCUUUCGCCUGUGACGAAGCGUGAGUGACGGUAAUGGGUAAAGAAGCACCGGCUAACUACGUG